UACGGGGGGGGCAAGCGUUGUUCGGAAUUACUGGGCGUAAAGGGCGCGUAGGCGGUUUGCUAAGUUGGAUGUGAAAACUCUGGGCUUAACCCAGAGCCUGCAUCCAAAACUGGCAAACUUGAGUACUGGAGGGGAAAGCGGAAUUCCUGGUGUAGCGGUGAAAUGCGUAGAUAUCGGGAGGAACACCAGUGGCGAAGGCGAGUCUCUGGGAUGAUGCUGACGCUGAGGCGCGAAAGCCAGGGGAGCAAACGGG
This 253-nucleotide ribosomal RNA is filed under the name uncultured prokaryote. RNAcentral describes it as "partial 16S ribosomal RNA". It matches the Rfam family "Bacterial small subunit ribosomal RNA", at positions 524 to 776 of the family's 1533-position model. The record is from RNAcentral.